Molecule: ribosomal RNA, 497 nt
Filed under: uncultured bacterium
Lineage: Bacteria
Description: partial 16S ribosomal RNA
Rfam family: Bacterial small subunit ribosomal RNA
Source: RNAcentral
GAUGAACGCUGGCGGCGUGCCUAAUACAUGCCAGUCGAGCGAACGGACGAGAAGCUUGCUUCUCUGAUGUUAGCGGCGGACGGGUGAGUAACACGUGGAUAACCUACCUAUAAGACUGGGAUAACUUCGGGAAACCGGAGCUAAUACCGGAUGAUAUUUUGAACCGCAUGGUUCAAAAGUGAAAGACGGUCUUGCUGUCACUUAUAGAUGGAUCCGCGCUGCAUUAGCUAGUUGGUAAGGUAACGGCUUACCAAGGCAACGAUGCAUAGCCGACCUGAGAGGGUGAUCGGCCACACUGGAACUGAGACACGGUCCAGACUCCUACGGGAGGCAGCAGUAGGGAAUCUUCCGCAAUGGGCGAAAGCCUGACGGAGCAACGCCGUGUGAGUGAUGAAGGUCUUCGGAUCGUAAAACUCUGUUAUUAGGGAAGAACAUAUGUGUAAGUAACUGUGCACAUCUUGACGGUACCUAAUCAGAAAGCCACGGCUAACUACGUG